Molecule: ribosomal RNA, 497 nt
Filed under: uncultured bacterium
Lineage: Bacteria
Description: partial 16S ribosomal RNA
Rfam family: Bacterial small subunit ribosomal RNA
Source: RNAcentral
GAUGAACGCUGGCGGCGUGCCUAAUACAUGCAAGUCGAGCGAACAGAUUAGGACCUUGCUCCUCUGACGUUAGCGGCGGACGGGUGAGUAACACGUGGAUAACCUACCUAUAAUACGGGUAUAACUUCGGGAAACCGGAGCUAAUACGGUAUAAUAUAUUGAUCCGCGUGGUUCAAUAGUGAAAGUCGGUUUUGCUGUCACUUAUAGAUGGAUCCGCGCCGCAUUAGCUAGUUGGUAAGGUAACGGGUUACCAAGGCAGCGAUGCGUAGACGACGUGAGAGAGGGAUCGGCCACACUGGAACUUAGACACGGUCAAGAGGCCUACGGGAGGCAGCAGUAGGGAAUGUGACGCAAUAGGGGAAAGCAUGACGGAAUGACGCCGAGUCAGUGAUGAAGGUCUUCGGAUCGUAAAAAUCUGUUAUUAGGGAAGAACAAAUGUGUAAGUAACUAUGCACGUAUUGACGGUACCUAAUCAGAAAGCCACGGCUAACUACGUG